RNAcentral lists this ribosomal RNA (265 nucleotides) under uncultured bacterium. Its description in RNAcentral is "partial 16S ribosomal RNA". It matches the Rfam family "Bacterial small subunit ribosomal RNA", at positions 793 to 1055 of the family's 1533-position model. The record is from RNAcentral.
GUCCACGCCGUAAACGAUGGCCACUCGGCCUUUGGGGCGGAACCUCCGUCCGUGGGGCCUUAGCUAACGCGGGAAGUGGCCCGCCUGGGAACUACGAGCGCAAGCUUAAAACUCAAAGGAAUUGACGGGGGCCCGCACAAGCAGCGGAGCGUGUGGUUUAAUUCGACGCAACGCGCAGAACCUUACCCAUGUUUGACAUGGCCCUGCACGACGGUGAAAGCCGUUCGCCUUCGAGGGUGGGCCACAGAUGCUGCAUGGCUGUCGU